This 443-nucleotide ribosomal RNA is filed under the name uncultured bacterium. Its description in RNAcentral is "partial 16S ribosomal RNA". It matches the Rfam family "Bacterial small subunit ribosomal RNA", at positions 338 to 795 of the family's 1533-position model. The record is from RNAcentral.
CCUACGGGUGGCAGCAGUGGGGAAUAUUGGUCAAUGGGCGCAAGCCUGAACCAGCAACGCCGCGUGAAGGAAGAAGGCUUUCUGGUUGUAAACUUCUUUUCUCAGGGACGCAGAAGGUGACGGUCCCUGAGGAAUAAGCCACGGCUAACUACGUGCCAGCAGCCGCGGUAAUACGUAGGUGGCGAGCGUUAUCCGGAUUUAUUGGGUGUAAAGGGCGGGUAGGCGGGAGGGCAAGUCAGAUGUGAAAACUCAGGGCUCAACCCUGAGCCUGCAUUUGAAACUGUGUUUCUUGAGUGCGGGAGAGGCAAGCGGAAUUCGGGGUGUAGCGGUGAAAUGCGUAGAUAUAAGGAGGAACACCAGUGGCGAAGGCGGAUUGCUGGACAGUAACUGACGCUGAGGCGCGAAAGCGUGGGGAGCAAACAGGAUUAGAUACCCUAGUAGUC